Molecule: ribosomal RNA, 253 nt
Filed under: uncultured bacterium
Lineage: Bacteria
Description: partial 16S ribosomal RNA
Rfam family: Bacterial small subunit ribosomal RNA
Source: RNAcentral
UACGGAGGGUGCAAGCGUUGUCCGGAAUCACUGGGCGUAAAGGGCGCGUAGGCGGCUCAUGAAGGCUGUGGUGAAAGUCCAGGGCUCAACCUCGGAUCGGCCGUGGCGACUCGUGGGCUGGAGCACUGUAGAGGCGGGUGGAAUUCCGGGUGUAGCGGUGGAAUGCGUAGAGAUCCGGAAGAACACCAGUGGCGAAGGCGGCCCGCUGGGCAGUGGCUGACGCUGAGGCGCGACAGCGUGGGGAGCAAACAGG